RNAcentral lists this long non-coding RNA (27546 nucleotides) under Solanum tuberosum (potato). Its description in RNAcentral is "long non-coding RNA (STUB_LNC004357)". Lineage: Eukaryota; Viridiplantae; Streptophyta; Magnoliopsida; Solanales; Solanaceae. The record is from RNAcentral.
UCAUAGUUUCCAACAAUCCUAGAGUUCCCUUGGUGCGACCUUGGAUGGAUUUUAUGAUAGUCUUAAGAAGAUCCAUUGUGUUGUACUCUUGAGAAACACAUAUCCAAGCGCGUGUAGGGAAGCUUGAGACUAUAUUGGGACUGUUGUAGAGGUUUCUCGCAAGAGUAGUCUUGCCCAAUCCGCCCAUGCCAUGAAUGGAGAGGACGUUUCGACGAGGCUCUGCUUUGAGAAGUUGAGCUAGCAAUGUUUGUACAACAUCCUGAAAGCCAACAAAAAUGUGAUCCUCAUCGACAUAUGAGGUUGUUCUCCUCAAUGUUCUAACUUGAUUGCUUGGCCCUUCUCCAGCAUUAUUAUUGAUAUUUGUAAUACCAUAUGUCUCUCGCCUGCGAGAAAUAUCUAUGAUUCGCUGCUUGAGUGAUUGAAUCUCCUCUGCGACAUUGUAGAAUUUCUUCUCCUUCCUACAUAUGCAAGCGCAAGCCUUGAGACGACUAGCACCUUUACCAGCCUCGAAACUGUAUGUCUCGAGUAUAGCGACAGCAUCAUUCGCAACAGAAUUGAUUUCAAACACCCAUUGUUGAACUCUAUGAUCUCCACUUUGCUUUAGUUCUGCAUCUCUGAGGAAAGACUGUAUGAAGAGUAGCUCAGUUUUCAGCCAUCUAAUUUCAUCUCUGAGAUUUGUUCUCAGUGAAACUUGUUGUAUUAGGAAAUCACCCAAUAUUUGAACUGCAAAUGACACAAAGGCAUCAGCCAUCUUUAGGAAUAUGGAAAUUAAUAUUUUUUGUAAAAGGUAAACUGUGUAUGGAAUUAAUAUUGAGAGUUUGAUAACUGAUGAAUAAUGUUAUAAUGGAAUUCAGUAUUUAAAGCUUUAAAAAUCCGACAGAGGAAAAAGUCUAAAAGUAGAAAGAUGAUAGAUUUGAGGUUAAUGGUAAAGAAAAGUAUAUAUUUUCUACUAACUGCAAGCUAAGAAUUUAAAAUUGCAUGACACAAGUUAUGCUCUAAGCCAUAACUUCAAUGUAGUAGCGAAGCCAAAAGUUUCGCUAAUGAUGUUCAGAAUUUAAUAUAUAUGUAUGAAAAAUAAUUUUUGACUUAUAUAUUUUAUACAAUUUUCUAUAUAUAGAUAAUAUAAUUUUUCAACGAAGGGUGUCCGACUGGACACUCUGAGCUAUAUGUGUCACAAGUUGUGUUUUAAGACAAGAAAUUAUGUCCCAAGGCACAAGUCCCCUAGGGCAAACAACAACCACAACAACAUACACAAUGAAAUUUUACAAGUGGGGUUUGGAGAGGGCAAAAUGUUUGCAGACUGUACCAUUACCUCGUGCAGAUAGAAGGUUUGUUUGAGAAAGACAAACAUUAUUUUAAAAGUUCUGUCCAGUGAAUUGUUUCCCGUUUAUAUACCAAGCAACUCUAAUCAGAUAAAUUCUUCUCAUAUAGUUCAAUGACUAAUAGAUCCUCACUAAUGUGUUUAGAAUGAGUUCACAAAGUUUUGAUCCAAGAAGCAACAAUAACAUGCAUAUCAAAAUCAAAAUUGUUACUUCAAUUCAAUCGAUUUAUAAGUUCAUAAUAAAGUUAUAUCUAACAUCCACUAAAUUACACAUAAAUUAAGUUAAAAUACAUUAAAGUUGAAUGUAGUGAUAAAAAUUCAUGCCAUUGAUAUUCAAGGAGUAUUUAGUAUGCAUGACUUAACAGCGAUUGUAAUCUGUCAUCAUUAUUAAGCAUCAAGACAAUAACUUGUGGCGAUAUUCUAGAAAUUAUUCUAUGAUUUAGAAAAUAAAAAAUACUACUAGAGUGGUUUUUAAAAAAGUUUUAAAUUUUUUUCUUAUAAUUUAUCCAAAUCAAAACAAUAUCCUUCUUAAUUCAUCAAUCCAAAACAAACUUAAAAAAUAAGAUACAAUAAAUACAAAAAACUAUUAGGUUUUAAAAAAAAAAAAAAAUCAAAUAAAAUUGGGGUUCUUUUGACUUGGAUAAGUUAUGGAAAAUCUAGAAGAGGUGGGGUUUUUAUUUCAUCCAAUAAAAAAAUGACACAUAAUAAAUAUUUUAAAAAAACAAAAUUAAGCGAGGUUAGUUAGUUUUAAGAGUAUAUGUGAGCCAAAAAGGUAAAUGGAAGGGUAUCUUUAGACCAAAAUAUGAGUAGAAGGAUAAUUUUAGACACAAAGAUGGAUGAAGAGUAUUUUUAAACCUUUUCUUAUAGUUCAGGGAUAUUUUUGGCCCUUUUCCGUUAAAUAAUAGAUACCUUUCUUUUCUUUUUAAGUUUCCUUGUUUGGGGAAUCUAUAGGAAGAAAUGAUGAGCAUGACUUCUCAAUUUUUCGAAGAUGCAUUUUGUAACUUUGAAGAGAUGAAAGUAAAAUAUUCGAAUUCAGCCUCGGAGGUUAUUCCAUAAAGAUUUUGUAUUAUCUUGAAGGUCAACUUUUCAAAAUUGAUUUGCUAAAAACGAAUUUUGUUUUAAAUUGUUGAUUUCUCAAAAGAACUGGAACGUCAAGAAGACUAAUAAUAUAAAAUUUGAGAUUAUUCGGGAAAAAUUUGAAUUUUUCCAUAUCGAGAGUUCAAACUCGAGAUCUGGGAGGAACAUUGUUAAGAAUUCAUCACCAACUUAAUUCUUUACUUAAGAUAAAUCAAGAAAAAUCUAGAAUAUUCCGGAGGUGUAAAGAAUUGAAGGAAGAUCUCUAGAAUGAGUAUUCUAGAAAGAAUAGUCUAGAAAUGUUCUAGAAAGAAUAGUUCUAGAAAAAGAUAGUUAGAAAUAUUCUAGAAUAGAGUAGUAUGUAUCUCUCUAGAUUCUUCCAUCACCUCCUAUAAAUAGAGGUGGUCCAUUUGAGUUGUAUGCAACUAAGCAACUAAGAAAGAAAGCAAUCAAGAAACCAAGCAAAAAAAAAGAGUAAGAAAUAAGAGAGCAAACAAGAGUGAGUGCUCAAGUAAAGAGUGUUGCUGAAGCAAGCAACAAGUGUGAUCAAGAUUGUAAGACCGAAGCUGGUCCUUACUUUGAUAUAAUAAAAUUCAAGUUGUGAGAAAUCGAUAGUGCCCGUCGUCUCCAAAACAAUAAUAUUCAACAAACAUAUCCUUUGGUGGUAUUGUAGUUUUAUUUAGUUUGAUAUGAAUGUUGUGUAUAAUGUUGUUGUAGUUGUAUUAGAUUUUCAGUAACUAGCAUGAGCUUCAUACAAAGUUUGUAUAAUAAUUAUAUACAUAUUUCAUACCAAAAUUCUCCUAUACGUUUCAUAAAUAUGAAUGUUAUUUUCUAUAAUAUAUACUCUGAGAAGCAAUAGACAUAAAAGUAAGAACAAAUAAUGUGUUGAAAGGUCCACUUAUCACUUGUGUGAUUAACGUUCAGAAAAAAACGAAACAUGACCACGUGGUUUCUGAAAAUAAAGAGAAUUACGAUUAGACAAACAAUUUUCAUUUCAUGUUGGGAUAAGACACAAGUAUCCCCUAGACUAUGACCGAAAUUCCAAAGACACAACUUAACUAAUUUAAGGUCCUAUUACCCCCUAAACGCAUUUUUUGUAUAAUUUUAUACACCUUUUGGCUUACGUGGCACACUCCGUGACUCCACCGAGUUUGCUCGAUUCCGAGUUCGUAUGAGUGAGUUGUGCCCUUUGGAAGUUGGGCUGUUAGCAUAGGAAAGUUCACCCGAAUUUGUAAGGGUAUUUUGGUCUUUUCCCUAACCAUUUCUUUUGGAUAUAUUAAGGGUCCCAACUGAUUUUAAAUCAGUAUUUCCUUUUUAAAAGUGAGUGUUAGGGUUGUGAGUGAAGAGAGAAAGAAGAGGAGAAAGAGAAGGAAGCUAAGUUCGUCGAGAUCGUCGUGGAUUUCGUCGGGGUGAUCCCUAUUAAGGUAUGUGAGAUCAUAGUGUUGGGUUGGUUCAUUCCCCCACACGCCAAACUCGUUUUACUUUUCGAGAAAAAGAUUGGUUGUGUUUGUUGAAUUCUUGUGGUUGUGUUGAAGUUUCUUGUUGAUUUGGUACAUGUUUCCGGAUGGAAUUCCGAGUUGAAUCUAUUGUAUAUUAAGGGUUUUAAUGAUCCCAAGUGUUUGGGGAAAGAACCUUUGAAGUUAAGAGGGUUUAGAGUUGGAAAAAUGAAGGAGAAGAGUCGGGCAGCUUCCAUGAAACCAGUCCGCGUCACGGACUUGUUCCCUCUGUGAACAAAAAUCUGCUCCGCGUCGCGGACAGGAUGCGGACUCCACUGUUUCAAAAAUUUAUUUUCGUAACUCUUCUUAAGUUUAGCUGUCCUAAAUCAUUCCUAAACAUCAAGAGACCUUUCCUAUCACAAUCAUGAACCUUGAAUCCAUAAUCCAAUUCAAGGAAAAGGUUAGGAUCAAAGUCAAGUGAAGUUAUGAAGCAAGUCAAAGUAAGUUUUUAAAGUUUUCUUCAAGAGACUUUACUAAACGUCUAAACUUCGUUUUAAGACUCAAGUUUCAAGCAAAGUAAAGAGUAUAUGAGUUCUUUUUCUCAAGAGUUACUAGGGAACUACGUAUUCCCCAAAGAAGUUUAUAAAUGUUUUUACAUUUGAGUAAGAAAGGAACUAUGUUUUCCAAGAGAGCCUUUGGGCUAAGCUUUGAGUAAUUAUCUCAAAAUAAAGAAAGAUUUGUUUAAAACACUUAUGAGCUAAAGUAUNNNNNNNNNNNNNNNNNNNNNNNNNNNNNNNNNNNNNNNNNNNNNNNNNNNNNNNNNNNNNNNNNNNNNNNNNNNNNNNNNNNNNNNNNNNNNNNNNNNNNNNNNNNNNNNNNNNNNNNNNNNNNNNNNNNNNNNNNNNNNNNNNNNNNNNNNNNNNNNNNNNNNNNNNNNNNNNNNNNNNNNNNNNNNNNNNNNNNNNNNNNNNNNNNNNNNNNNNNNNNNNNNNNNNNNNNNNNNNNNNNNNNNNNNNNNNNNNNNNNNNNNNNNNNNUAUAUAUUGAGUUCAGUUAUUCAUGAGUUGAACAGAGCCAAGGUAAGAGUUCCUUUGUACUCCUUUCAAGCUUAAGUUGUUGUUUAGCUUUCUAGCUCACAUACUCGUAUAUUCCAUGUACUGAUGCCAGUUGGCCUGCAUCGUUUUAUGAUGCAGACGCAGGUACCCAGGAUCAACAUCCAGCACGCCGUUGAUCCAGCUGAGCACUCCAGAGUCAGUGGUGAGCCUCCUUGCCUUCCGGAGGACUCUGUUCUUUUAUGUUCCUAGUUUUGCUUUAUUAGGAUGUUGUGGGGUCUAUCCUAACAUCCAUCUCAGUGUUUUAGAGGCUUCAUAGACAGUCAGUCAGUUAGUAUUGAGUCUCUCAACUAUUUAUAUAUAUAAAUAUUCUAUUUUGAGACACGAGUUGCCUUUUGGCCAGUUUUUAUCAGUUGGGUUGUUUUAUGACCUUUCAUUGCAUUAAGUUAUUCUAUUGAGUUAGGUUUCCGCUGAGUUAAGAAAGCCAGGCCAAGGGUUCGCUUGGGGCUAGCAAUGGUCUUCGAGUGCUAGUCCCGCCCAGGGUGUAGGCUCGGGGCGUGACAGAAUCUCAACGAAUCGUAGCAACAAAAGAUACAUAGACUUUAAUUUAUUAGCUAAAGGAAUAUUGUUCGUACCUCAUGGAACAAUCUAGGGGUGUACAAAAUCGAACCGAAAACCGAAUCCAACCUCAAAUCGAGUCAAACCGAAAAAAAACCCCAUUAGUGUUUUGGUUUGACUUGGUUUGGUAUUGAAAAAAAUAACCCAACUUUAUUUGGGUUGGUUUGGUUUUAACUAAAAAGAACCAACCCAAGACCAAACCAACCCGACAUUAUAUAUAUAAUUUUAAAAUUUUAUUUUAUACAUAAAAAUAUUUACUUUGAUAUCAUUUUUAAAUAUUUCUUAUACUCUUUUAAUAUAUUAUUUCAAGUUUGAAACUUAGAAUUCUGAAUGAUUCAAUAAAGAUUAUAGUCCACAGAUGUUGGUAAUUAUAAUAAAGGUUAAAUCAAAAUCAAAUUAAUACUAAUGCAAAAAGAAAAUCAAUUCAACACUAAGAAUGACAAUAUAUAAUAUUGAAUAUUUAUUCUUUAGUUUUACGUUGGUUUAGACAAUUAAAAUACAUAAUCUAAUUUUAAUUUCCUUUAAUAUUUAGUCAUGUAACUAAUACUUAUUUUAACAUGAUUUAGUACUUUUAAAUUAUGAUCAUUUUCACCAUGACUUGUUAAUUUGCAAUAUUUGUUUUACGCAAUUUUAUUAUUACGUAUAUUUUUUUUGUUGGAUAUUUUAGUGUCAUUAAUCAUAUCAUAUUUUGUGUUAUUUUUUAAGAAACACCUUAGAUAGUUGUAUUUUAGUAGGACUAAAUAAAUAUUUGAAGUACAAGUAAAUUUUAUGUUUGUAUGAAUACUUUACCGAAAAAACCCGAGGUUGAAAAACCCGAGUUUUAUUGGUUUGGUUUGGUUUUAUAAAUUUAAAAAUCCGAUACAAAUGGUUUGGUUUGAUAUUUGAAAAACCCGAACCAACCCGGCUAUGUACACCCCUAGAACAAUAUUCAACAAAUUCGAGUUGACCUCCAAUACUACCAUCACAAGUAGUCAUCAAAUAUCCUCUUGCAAGCCUAACACAAGUAUCACAAUCUGAAUAUUGUACAUUUGAACCACAAGUAACAUGACCAUAAGCUAAAGCAUCAUCAUUAGGAUAAGGAGAUGUUAUGUAAUAAUCAUAACCUUGUUUUGGUGUCUCAUUACUUAAUUCUAUAAGAACAUAUAUAAGACAAACUAUCUGAAAAUGGACCAUUUUUGUCAUACAUUUCACCGUUGCAUGUAUGGUACCCAAUAAUUUAGACUCUGGAAAUUCACUUCUCACAAAAUAAUUAAAGUAACCCAUGACUAAAAUUAUAAUUAGGAAUGUGGUUAACACUCUAAUUCUCAAAAUUGAACUCAUAGAUAUAUGUAUAUAUUUUCUAUUACAUUUGUGUUACAAAUAAUUGAGUUUAGUACUUUAAUGUCCUUUUUUGUUUAAAUAGAUUUAUCCAUCCUUUGAUUUCUCCACCAAUGAAAAUUAAGUAUUCCAUAAUUUAUAUUUUAUAAAUUAUGUAUGUUGCCGGCAAAUAAACCAUUACUAUUUCUUUGCUUUGAUAUUAUAAAUCAUAAUGCUUGGUAUAAUUCUUGCAAAGAGAGGAAUAUUCAUCAUACAAAGAAAGAUCCAUUAAAAGCAAUUGAUGAUUAAUAAUACUGAUCAUGCAAUGUUAUUAUUAUUAUUGAAUUAUUUGGAUUUCUACUCAUAUAGAAUUAUUGGGUUUUAAAAUUAACAAUUUAUAUGUAUUAUAUAGGAUUUAGAUCAAAGCAACUGAAUUCAGCUGAAUCAAUAACUGAAAAACUAGCUCCACCCUUACUAGUUGCUUCAGGUACUCUAUAGUGAUUAUUGUGCAUUUGUUUUACAAUUUGAUUGUUUUUGUUAUUUAGUUUCGAUCAUUUGAUUUUCGAUUUUCAAACAUGAUUGCUCAACGUGAUUAUUGUUCCCUUCGUCCUAAUUUAUAUGAAAGUAUAAAUUAUAGUUUGACUCUAAAAAAGGAAAUCAUGACAAUUAAAAGUGAACGGAGGGAGUAGUAUAUAUUAUCUUCCUUCUUUUUUUUUGUUAAAGUUGUUAUAAAAACUCGUUCAUGGGUUAUGUUUGGAUGGUUAAAUUUCGAAUCCAAAGUUAAAAAAAACAUCACUUUUUCCCUUCAAAAUACAUAAAGGGCCAUUCAAAUUUUAGUUUAAUCAAAAAGGGACACUUCGCUAGAGAAGGAGCGAGAUAUGUUGGUGCUAUAACUACCGUUAACGAAAUAAAAAAAUUGAUCAUCUCGCUAACUUAUGAGCAAUUUUCCUCUUUUAUUUUAUCUUUUUUCUCGCUACUUAUGAGUGAUUUGCUCUCUAUUUUUUUCCCCCAAAUAUCGUUCUACACUAAGCGAAUUUGUAAGUUUUUUUUUUUGUUAUUCUCGUUGCACACUGAGCGAGUUCUCAACUUCUUUUAUUAUAUGCCCUCAUAGUAACCCCAUCAUUAAUUUUUAUUUAGAUAACGAUAAAAACUUUCUAAUAAAAUAGAAAACAUUUUUAUUUCUUAAUAUUUUUUAUAAAUUGAAGUAGGAUAAACAUUUUUCCAAUGAAAAAAUCAUUAUUAGAAAAAGAAUGUGUUUUAAAAAAAACAGAAAUAAUAUAUCAUUUUUGACCUAUUAAGUACAACAAUAAGUGCAUUUUUAGACCAAACUAGUGAAGACAAUCAUAUUUUUUUAACCCCUUUUCUGUUAACUAGUUUUACGGAACGUGCGUUGCACGUUUAACUCAAAGUACAUAAUACAAAUCUUAUAUUGCAAAUGAUAUAGUUAAAUAAUAUAUAUUUUAUUUCACUUUUUCAGUACAAUAAAAUAAAAAUCAAAACAUAUAAAAAAAGUAACAACUCAUAAGUUAAAGGCUAAAAAAUCUUACAAACAUGAUACAUAUUUUAGUGACAUAUAACACCUUAAUUUAAAUACUCAUUGAAUAGACAAUAAGAAAUAAACUGAUGCGCAUAUAUUGAAUCCCAUCAUGAUCAAUCCAAAUACACAAAAAUCUUAUAAAAUUUGCUUCGGCUCAACCACAUGUACAUUAAAAAGUAAGAAAGUAGAAAAGGGAGAUAAUUGUAUAUUAAUUAGUAUAGCGACAUAAACCUAAAAAUAUGAUAACAUUAAGUUAUCAAUUAAUAUACUUUGUUAAUUAAGUACCUGAAACUAAAAUUAGUGGAGAAGAAGAAAUUAACUAAAUAAGAAGAGCUUGUGCAGACUGUAGUGAGAAAAAGAUCAUAACUCAUAAGCACAAAUAGAGAUCUUUAAUAAGAACAAUGAAAAUUGAAAUGCAAAUGAUGAAUCAGUUGGAAGGGAAUAGAAACUUAAGAGAUAUUUAUAUAUUAAUAUAUGUGAAGACUCCUUCAAAACUUUCAAUAUUAUAUUAUUAAUAUUUGGGAGUUAAUAGACUUAUUUAAUAGUGUUUUAUAAUUAGUUCAUGUAAUUAGAGGAAGAUGAAAAAACUUUCUUGAAAGUAACAAUUUUUUAUUUUUAUAUUUGGUGGAGAAACUGUCUUCUCCUUUAUUUGAGUAAAUAAAUAGGUGAGCAUUUAAGCAGUUUUCAGUUUUUUCCCCUUCAUUACACAUAUAUGUUAGUAAUUUAAUUAGGUGUUUAUGCUUUCUAAUCAUGGACAAAAAUGUUACUUCAUUUUACGUGAGAAUUACAAUAGUUUUUGUUUCUUCUUCUUCUUCACAUGUUUUUUUAGUCAUUUAAUAUGAAAUUUAUUUUUUCUAAUCAUGGAUAAAAAUGCUACUUAACUUUACAGAAUAUUUUCAUAAAUUAACUGUUCUCUCUUUUUUUUUCUUUUUUUUAAUAUAGCAAUUUAAUUUGAUAAUGACUUACGAAAUUGAGAAGUCUAUUAAACACAAAUGGACAUGAGACUCUUUAGCUUAUAAGGGGGAAAAAAACAGAUGUGUUAAAAUCCAUUCCAAUUCACAACUGAAGUCAUAACCAUCAUUUAAUAGAAUCUCAACUUUAAUGUCUAAAUACACUCAAGGUGCGUUAGUCCUGCAAAUUGGUCUAGUAAUAAGAUUAGGACAUUAAAUGUAUAUAAUAAUAAUAAUAAUAACAACAACAACAACAUGAUAAGAUUAUUAUUUAAUAUUUAAUAAAUUAGAUAUUUUAUAACAUUUUUAUUUAGAAAUAAGGGGAAGAUGGGGUAUAUGAUUAAUAGUAGAUCCCUUAAUAGUAUUAUUGUAGUAAUUCAACUUUAUAAGGUUAUUUUGGUAUUUCAACUUUCAACUUUUUUUGUUCUCACUUUUAGUAAUAUAAUAAUAAUAAUAAUAAUAAUAAUAUAUGAAUGAUAUGAUGAUGAUAUAUACAUUGUUUUAUCUAUCAUAACUUUUCAAAAUUUUCCAUUGAGAAUUAUGAUCAUGAUUUAAAACAAUAUCAAUGUACUCAUUUAUCAAGAAAAUAACAAUUUAAUUAUUAAAUGGCUUAAGGACUUAAAUUCUACCAUUAUGUAACUAAAUUAUUUGUAUUUAAUUAAAUAAUUAAUCCAAUUUUUAUUUAGUAAAAGGGCAAAAUGGUAAUUCAACUUUUCACUUUGAAGCUUCCCACUUAUAAUAAUAUAUGAUUAAAUCAUCACAAAAUCCCCCAAAUCAAGCAUUCAAAAACCAAAAAACAUUCAAAUAGGUUUCUAUUAUCAAAUAAAACCUUGCAUAUGGUUGUAAAGAUCCACCCAAUUUAAUUUCUCUUCAACAUAUUUCAUUCUCUCUGGAAUCUCCUUCAGCUUUGAACAGUGACCGAUAGCAAGUCUUUUAAUGAGAGGCAUGGCACUUGUGGCUAAAUGGCACAUUAUUUCUUUUCCAUUAUAAGCCUCUUCUAAUAUGAGAUCUCUUAGAUUUGGCAACAUUCCCAAAGUAGGCAUCGAAUCAUGGCAUCGAAUCUUCCAUGAGUUUUGACUUCCAAAGAACCAUCAUAGUGAUGGAAUUUGGAAACAGAGGCAGUUUCUCUAUUCUCCCUUUUAACAACAAUUUCUGGACCUUUUGACAAGAACUAAGAAAUUCAAGGGAUGAGAAUGAUUUAUCCAAUUUACAAAACAAUCUGAGACUACUAAGGUUUUUCAAGCUGCUAAUGUUGUUCAGGGAGUAAGAUUUGGUAAUUCGAUGCAUGCUUAAUUCUCGAAGAUUGACUAAAUCAACAGGGUCAACAUCUUUCCACUGAUCACAACGAACGUCUUUAAGAACUUCCAAACUAAUGAGUUUGCUUAUACGUUUCAGAGGUUUUGAAUAUGAAGCAACUAAAUGUCUUAGAUUUAUCAGGUGGGUAGUUCGCAAGAGUAUUCCCCCUCAUUGACAACAAGUGUCUGUAGAUUCUUCAGGUUGCCAAUGGAAGAGGGAACAUCACGGAUACCUCUCAAUAUUAGCAACUUAAGGUGGUACAAACUUCCAAUGGCAUCAGGUAUUAUAGACACAGCACGCAUAUCCAAGUACAACACAUAGAGAUGUUGGAACACACUACUGAACUUCAUAAGACUCAUAUUAUGAAAAUCUGGAUCAGAGAACAUAAUUGACCUCAACUUCAAGUUAGAAAGAUCAAGUGAGAGGUACCUUUCUCCUUCACUAUGAAUGACAUGUCUGAUACAUAAGGAGGAUAUCGAGUGCUUUCUUGGAUCAUAAAAGUCAAAGAAGUUUACCUCCAAUGCCUUUUGUAUCGCAAGAUCACGGAGUAAAUCAUGAACCCUACAGUCAGUAACUUUUUCCCAAAGUGUUUUAGCCACUUGAACCAAGCUUCGUCUUAUCAGCUCAUUCAAGAAGCCUUCAGCGACAUCCUCCAUCCACAACCGUAUUAUGUUAUCAGCCUCAAGCACUUGAUCUUCUGGAAAAAUACCAAAGUAGAGAAAACACUGCUUGAGCGCAGUUGACAAAUCAUUGUAGCUUAAUGAUAGUAUGUUAGAUAUUUCAAUAAAUUUAUCUUCUUUAAUGUUCUUCCACCUUUUGCCAUUCGUUUAGCCCCUUUUUAUGCGAAAGUAGUCCGCUCAAUACAACAAUUGCAAGAGGUAAGCCUCUACACUUUUCCACCAUAUCCUUAGCUAGACUUUCCAUUUCUGGAACCAUUGCUCCAACAUCAAGCAGUUUCCUACAAAAGAGAUCCCAACUUUCUUCUUGACUUAGGAAACGAAGUUUAUGAACAAAACNNNNNNNNNNNNNNNNNNNNNNNNNNNNNNNNNNNNNNNNNNNNNNNNNNNNNNNNNNNNNNNNNNNNNNNNNNNNNNNNNNNNNNNNNNNNNNNNNNNNNNNNNNNNNNNNNNNNNNNNNUAAGAAGAUCCAUUGUGUUGUACUCUUGAGAAACACAUAUCCAAGAGCGUGUAGGGAAACUAGAGGCUAUAUUAGGACUGGUGUAAAGUUUUCUCGCAAGAGUGGUCUUGCCUAAACCCCCCAUUCCAUAAAUGGAGAGGACGCUUCGACGAGGCUCUGCUUUGAGAAGUUCAGCUAGCAAGUUUUGUACAACAUCCUGAAAGCCAACAAAAAUGUAAUCGUGGUCAUCCACAUAUGAGGUAGUUCUCCUCAAUGUUGCAACCUGAUUACUUGGCCCUUCUCCAGCAUUACUAUUGAUAUUUGUAAUACCAUAAGUCUCUCGUUUGCGAGAGAUAUCCAUGAUUCGUUUCUUGAGUGAUUUGAUCUCCUUGGCGACAUUGUAGAAUUUCUUCUCCUUCCUACAUAUGCAAGCACAAGCCUUGAGAUAACUAGCACGUUUACCAGCCUCAAAGCUGUAAGUUUCGAGUAUAGCAACAGCGUCAUUAGCAAUAGAGUUGAUCUCAAACACCCAUUGUACAACUCUAUGAUCCGCACAUUGCUUUAGUUCUGCAUCUUUGAGGAAAGGUUGUAUGAAGAGUAGCUCAUUUCUCAGCCAUGUAAUUUCAUCUCUGAGACUUGUAAGCAGGGAAACUUGUUGACUGAGGAAAUCGCCCAAUUUUCGUAGUGCAAAUGACAGAAAGGCAUCAGCCAUCUUCAGGAGUGUUGAUUUUUAUUUAGAAAAGAGGGGGCUGUAGGCUGUAUAUAUACAAAUAAAGUUUAAGUCAAGAAUUGAUAUAAGGCCAAAAAUGGACGAUCAAUACGAAAGCAAGACAUGAAUUAUUUGCCGGCAUAUGCAUUGGUUAAAACACUAUGUGGCUGUGUUUGAUACUCAUCAAUGUCAUAUCAUGAUAACAAGUUAAGACAAUUCAAAUUGAAUUAUCACCUGAAAUUAAAUUUAUCUUUUGUAGUAACAUAAUCAGUAAUCACAUAUAGUUCCCUGAUAGUACAUAUAUUUUUUUUAAAUACAAUUUCCUUAGUAAAAAUCAUAGCACUCAUAGUGCAUAUAAUUUUUUCUUAAAAAUUAUCAUUAUAAGUAAAAAUAAAAUAAAAUGGGACCCCAAAAAUAUGGGCCCCAAGUAAUGGAUUUAGUGGCCUAGGGGUUAAGACGGCCCUGGUUGUGGUAAAUGACAGUUAGUGGUAUUAAAUACUUCUAGUAAUUCUAUUUUAUCAUUUACCGUAACUUUAUUAUAAUAGCUUUAUCACGCAACCUAUUUUAUUAUAAUACGAUAAAGAGGUUGUUUUCGAAAGACCCUUGGCUCAAGAAAAAGAUUUUGAAAGAAAUGCAAGAGCCAAAAAAGUUGCUAUGAAAAUAUGGAUUCCUCUGAAUAUUUAGUGAAGUCUGAAUUCUGAUACCAUGACGGUUUCUGAAGAAACCAGAAACUUCUCUAACAGACUAGUAAUUUGAUGAAGAAUAUUUAGUGAAAACUAAAAACAAGUAGCACCAAAAGCAUGGAAUAUUUAAUUUGCAUUGAUGGAGAAAUCAAGUUCUUGAGUUUUGUAAAAUAGACAAACACUGACUCUGUACCUUGCUGCAGAGUUGCAAUCUCCUUAUUUAGACUGAAGGUUCUUGAUCCGUCCAAGGGUCUUUCGAAAACAAUCUCUUUGUAAAAUAGACAGACACUGACUCUGAAUUCUGAUACCAUGACGGUUUCUGAAGAAACCAGAAACUUUUCAAACAGACUAGUAAUUUGAUGAAGAAGAUAGCUUCAUUUACUUGAUGAGUAACAAUCAGAUGUGAGUAGUCUAUUUAUACUACUCAAUAAGCUACUCAAUACAAGUUGUUGUUAGUAACUAACUGUCACUAUCUAUAACUAACUUAGUAACUAAUUAAUUAACACUCUUUUCUAACUGUUUUCUGGAAGUAGUCUGACAGAUUUCUUUGUUUGAGUUCUAUCAACAUGGUGCUAGAUAGUUAAAACAAAAACAACCAACAUUAUAGUAGAUCAAGCUAUAAUUAAUUUGAUUUAUGAAAAAACAUAGAACCAAUAGAGAAAAACAAUUGAGAAAGAUUGAACAACAGAGUCUUGCGUCUUAAGUGAAGAACUAAUCAUAAACUUAAAAGAAAGAAUUUCACUGAGAAAACGAUUUGGGUGGGGGAGAGGUGGGGGAAGACGAUUUCACAUGUCUUUAUUUAAUUCGUCACUUUGACGUGUCAUCAGCGAGUGUGUUACACACACCUUACACAUUUGGCUGAUUGUUAAAAAAGUGUCAAAAAGACAUAACGGGGCAUAACAUGAGGUGUCUAAAAUGAACAAAUUCUAGUUAAAGUGUCUAAGUGAAAACUUGUGCCAACUUUAGGUGGCCACCGAUGGAUUAGGCCAAUGAUAGUUAGGUACGAGCAUUACUCAUUCAGCUAAUAAACUAGAGCCUACUCUUGUUGCCCCGAUCCACAGAGAUUUAGUCAUUUGGCACUCUGAUUGUCUUACGAGGAGAUCCAUCUGUUGAUUUUUGGUGUGACCCUAAUUUCUAUUUCGUUCAUGUUUUUUUUGUCUUUCCAUUGUUUUGUUGUUGUAAUGUGAUUUCUUAUGUUUGUUAAAGUUGCAAGAAUUUUCAGGUUUAUGUCAGAAGAUUCAGUACUACUACUCACUACUAGUUAUCUAAUUUAAGUUAAACAAAGAGGAACUUGAAAAUAUUAGUUUAGAACAAAGUAACUUAAAAGAGACUAAAAUACUAAGUGUAAAUUACAAGAGAGAAAUGAAAACAUAUAGCCUUUGGUAGCCAAAAUCCAAAGUUGCAUUGUCUCUCCUCUGAUGGAUUAUUUUCCCUCUUCAAACUUCGAUGAGUUAGGGAUGACCUCUGAUAUAGCCUUUGGUAGCCAAAAUCCAGGUCGUUCGAUAGAGGCUGCACGAUCAAGUACCAAUGGAUCCCGCAAUGUGAUCUGAAUGCCAUCAUAUGUCCACAACUCUAGCUAAGCCAGCAACCGCAACAUCCAUGUUCUUGACAUUCCAGCUCGUUCCACGUGCUUUUACUUCCUGCUUUGGCCAUUGUCCUAAUUUAGAAACUCGCUCCAUAGAAAUCAGAGGCGGAAGAUAAGAAAAAAAAAAAAAGGAACAAUUAGAGGAUUUUAUUUACACAUACGGCACUAUGACAUCUGCUAUUGGCUAACUUGCAACAUGUUGUUAGUUGUUAACUUGUUUUUGCAACUACGACUUCUCUUUAGCAAAGAAUACUAUCUCACCUUUCAUUGUACUUCUCUCAAAUCUAUAUGUUGAUAUUCAACAAAAAACAUAAUACUCAUGUAGUUCAAGUGGAAUUGGCUAUAAAGUAGGAAAUAUUAUUGAAUCAGAAAUAGUGCAGGAAUUGGAGUAUAACCUGCAAUCUCACUCCAGCAUGGUUUUCUGUCUUUACUAGAUGAAGAGACACACUAGGUGAUGCCCAGACAGUGAUGUAGAUUGUUUCAACUGAGGCUUGAACUAGAUCCAGUCUAACUAUAUGUACAGUCUGCCCAUGCUGCAAGAAAAUGGUGAAAAUUGCAUUUUAGAGUCGAAAAGUCAUUUUUGCAGCCUUACCCUGCAUUUAAGGAAGAGGCUGUUUUCACAACUCGAACCCAUGACCUCCUAGUCACAUGGAAGCAACUUUAUAGUUACGUCAAAGCUCCCCUUCAGUAGACAAGUAAGAAAAGAUGUCCUCCAGUGGAAAAGGAAAACCAAAUAUAUCAGUCCCUCCCUUAACCAAUUGAGACUUGAUCUGGUUAAAUAUUAUGAAAAUAUUUUCUUUUCUCUUCAAGUGACAAUUUCUUCUCCUGUUUCCCCCAAAUAUUAUUUAACACGUACGCUAUUUAUAAAAUAAAAAUGAACAAAGUUAUGUAUAGGUACCUUUGCUAUUACCGAAGAAAACUUGCCAUAUGCUUGCCAAGAUCCAUCUCAUUUAAUUUCUCUUCAACAUCUUUCAUUCUCUCUGGAGUCUCCUUCAGCUCUGAACAGUGAUGGAUACCAAGACCUUUAAUGAGAGGCAUUGCACUUGUGCCUAAAUGCCAUCUUUCUAGGUUCCGAAGUUUUAUAAGAUGAAGGAACUCGAGUUGACUGAAGCUGUUAUCACUGCACAUUAUUUCUUUUCCUUCAUAAGCAUCUUCUAAUAUGAGAUUCCUUAGGUUUGGCAACAUUCCCAAAGUAGGCAUCGGAUCUUCCAUGAAUUUUGACUUCCUAAGAACCAUCAUUGUGAUGGAAUUUGGAAACAGAGGCAGUUUCUCUAUUUUCCCAUGUAAGCACAAUUUCUGGAGCUUUUGACAAGAAUUAACAAAUUCCAGGGAUGGGAAUGAUUCAAAACGUUCACAAAACAAUCUGAGAGUGCUAAGGUUUUUCAAGAUGCUAAUGUUGUUUAAGGAGUAAGAUUUCUUAAUACGUUGCAUGCUUAAUUCUCCAAGAUUGACUAAAUCAACAGGGUCAACAUCUAUCCACUGAUCACAACAAACGCCUUGAAGAACUUGAAGACUAGUGAGUUUGCUUAUAAGUUUCAGAGGUUUUGAAUACGAAGCAACUAAAUGUCUUAGAUUUAUCAGGUCAGCUGUCACGCGGGGUAGUCUGCAAGAGUAUAGCCCCUCAUUGACAAUAAGUGUCUGUAGAUUCUUGAGGUUGCCAAUGGAAGAUGGAAGAUCAUGGAUACCUCUCAAUCUUAAGAACUUGAGGUGGUACAAACUUCCUAUGGCAUCAGGUACUGAUGCAGAAUGCCUAUUGUAAACAGGCAUAUCCAAGUACAACACAUAUAGAUGCUGGAAAACACUCCUGAAUUUUAUAAGACUCAUCUUAUGAAAAUCUGGAUCAAAGAACAUAAUUGACCUCAACUUUAAGUUAGAAAGAUCAAGUGAGAGGUACCUUACUCCUUGACUAUGAAUGCCAUGUCUGAUACAUAAAGAGGAUAUGGAGUGGUUCUUUGGAUCAUAAAUGUCAAAGAAGUUCACCUCCAAUGCCUUUUGUAUCACAAGAUCACGAAGUAAAUCAUGAACCCUACAAUGAGUAACUUUUUCCCAAAAUGUGUCUACCACUUGAACCAAGCUUCUUCUUAUCAGCUCAUUCAAGAAGCCUUCAGCCACAUCCUCCAUUCUUUCUUCUCCAUUUGGUACGAAACCCUCAGCCAUCCACAACCUUAUUAUGUUAUCAGCCUCGAGAACUUGAUCUUCUGGAAAAAUACCAAAGUACAGAAAACACUGCUUGAGCACAGUUGACAAAAUCAUUGUAGCUUAAGGAUAGAAUGCAGGAGAUUUCAAUAAAUUUAUCUUCAAUAAUGUUCUUCCAAAGUUGAUCUUUCACUUCUUGCCAUUUGUCCACCCCCCUCUAUGCGAAAGUAGUCCACUCAAUACAACAAUUGCAAGAGGUAAGCCUCUACACUUUUCCACCAUAUCCUUAGCUAGACUUUCCAUUGCUGGAACCAUUGCUCGAACAUCAAGUAGUUUCCUACAAAAGAGAUCCCAACUUUCUUCUUGGCUUAGGAAACGAAGUUUAUGGAUAAAACCUCUGUUGUCUGCUCUUUCAGCGACAUCCUCUUUGCGCGUGGUAAUAAUAACUCUGCUGCCAUUCUUGCUAUCCGGGAAUGCUCUUUUCAAACUUUCCCAUGCUUCUCUCUGCCAUACAUCAUCAACCACCACAAGGUAUUUGCGUUCUUUUAAUAGAUCACGAAGAUAAAUUUCUAGAUCUCCUUCUGUCAUCCUUUCCAACAAAUCUAGAGUUUCGUUGGUGCGCCCUUGGAUGGAUUUUAUGAUAUUCCUGAAAAGAUCCAUGGUGUUGUACUCUUGAGAAACACAUAUCCAAGAGCGUGUAGGGAAACUAGAGGCUAUAUUAGGAUUUUUGUAGAGGUUUCUUGCAAGAGUGGUCUUGCCUAAUCCGCCCAUUCCAUAAAUGGAGACGACGCUUCAACGAGGCGCUGCUUUGAGAAGUUCAGAUAGCAAUGUUUGUACAACAUCCUGAAGUCCAACAAAAAUGUAAUCCUGGUCAUCCACAUAUGAGGUAGUUCUCCUCAAUGUUCUGACCUGAUUACUUGGCCCUUCUCCAGCAUUACUAUUGAUAUUUGUAAUACCAUAAGUCUCUCGUUUGCGAGAGAUAUCUAUGAUUCGCUGCUUGAGUGAUUGAAUCUCCUCGGCGACAUUGUAGAAUUUCUUCUCCUUCCUGUAUAUGCAAGCGCAAGCCUUGAGACAACUAACACCUUUACCAGCCUCAAAGCUGUAAGUCUCGAGUAUAGCGACAGCAUCAUUAGCAAUAGUGUUGAUUUCAAGCACCCAUUGUUGAACUCUAUGAUCUACACAUUGCUUUAGUUCUGCAUCUUUGAGGAAAGACUGUAUGAAGCGUAACUCAUUUCUCAGCCAUGUAACUUCAUCUCUCAGACUUGUUAUCAGUGAAAUUUGUUGAAUGAGGAAAUCACCCAAUUUUUGAACUGCAAAUGACACAAAGGCAUCAGCCAUCUUUAUGGUUGAAAAAAAGAAGAGAUGACUAUUGGAAAUCAAUAUUUUUUGAAAAAAGGUAGUGUGUAUGGAAAUUAAUAUUGGAAGCAGUAGAUUGAGAGAUGAAUAAUAUUGUUAUGAUGGAAUAAAUUAUUGAGAGUUUGAUAAGUGAUGAAUAUUGUUAACAUGGAAUUCAGUAUUUAAAGCUUAAAAAAUCCGACAGAGGAAAAAGUCUAAAAGUAGAAAGAUGAUAGAGUUUGAGGUUGAUGGUAAAGAAAGAAAAGUAUAUAUUCUCUACUAACUGCAAGCCAAGAAUUUAAAAUUGCAUGACACAAGUUAUGCUCAGUGUAGUGGUGAAGCCAAAAGUUGCCAUUCAAGAUUUAGUAUAUAUGUAUGAAAAAUAAGUUUUAACUUUUGUAUAAUUUUUUAUAUACAUAGUAUAAUUUUUCGACGAAAAAUGUCUGAUUGAACACCCUAAGCUAUAUGUGGCUACGCCACUGCUUCAUUGGCACAAGUUGUGUGUUUAGACAAGAACUUAUGUCCCAAGGCACAAGUCCCCCAGAGCAAACAACAACAACAAGUAGGGUCUGGAGAGGGCAAAAUGUAUGCAGACCGUACCACUACCUCGUGGAGGUAAAGGUUGUUUCAAAAAGGCCCUCGGCAAUAAGUCCCCUGGGUCAAAUAUCACGAUAUUUCUGUACUUUAUACUUUACUUAAAAAGACAUAGUAUCAUAUUAGAUCAAAUUUUAUUAUUCAGAAGAGUUGGUUUAAUUGUUCCUCCACCUAAAUCACUUUUUGCUAAUUAAUUUCAUCUUUAAAUUAUAGAUACCUUUCUUUUCUUUUUAACUAUCCUUGUUAGGGGAAUCUAUAGGAAAAAAUAUGAUGAACAUGACUUCUCAAUUUGAAGAUGCGUUUUGUAACUUUGAAGAGAAGAAAUAAAAUAUUUGAAUUCAGUCUCGGAGGUUAUUCCAAAAAGAUUUUGUAAGAGCUUGAAGGUCAAUAUCUCAAAAUUGAUUUGCUGAAAAAGAAUUUUGUUUCGAAUUGGUGAUUUUUCAAAAGAACUGAUGAAACAUCGAUGAGACUAAUAAUAUAAAAUUUGAGAUUAUUUGGGUAACAUUUGAAUUAGCUUUAGACUGAAUUUUUAAUUAUAGUUCGUUGAAAUUCAAAAUUACCGUCGAAUUAUAUCAAAAAUCAUAUGAUAAUCAUAUAGUGACGGAUGCAUUAUAUGUAAAUUGUUUUUUAAGUUUGGUAUUUUAUUGUAGUUGUAUUGUUUUCGGUCUCCCACUCGGUGUCCGAUACCCGCUAGAGCUCGACUAUCUCGAAUUCGCGCCGUGUAGAGCCAUUUGAGGGGAAGCGCUCUCUAACAAGUAAAUUCCACAGUACUCUUUAAUAUAAUUUUAUUUUAUUUUUUACUAAUUAAUUCAAAGAAGUAGAAUACUCUAUGGUUAAUUUUUGCAUAAAAAUUAGGAAAAAAACAUCUCAGAAAGUUACUUAGUUAUAACAAGCAACAAACAGUUUUGUGAACUAAUAGCCCACCAAUAAGCUCUUUAACAUAAGUAAUUUAUGUAGGGAAACUUUCGCAUAUAGCCACUAAUUAUAAAAAUAGCUUAAUUAUGUAUAUUGCCACUAAAAAUAGCUUAAUUAUACAUAUUGCCACUAAAAAUAGCUUAAUUAUGCAUAUAGCCACUAAAAACAAGUUAUACCAAAAUCAUGGAAUAUUUAAGUUGCAUUGAUGGAGAGACCAAUAGAGAUGGACAAAUCUAUUUAAACAACAUGUGAAACUCAAAACAAAUAGAAGAUAGGAAGAUAUACAAUAAUAGAGAGGCUAGAUACAUAUGGAUUCAAUUUUGAAAAUGAAAAUUCUAACCACAUUCCUUAUAAUUGGAAUAUUUUUGUUUGAUAGUUUUGUGAGAAGUGAACCAAAUACCAAAGAGAUUAGCCAUAUUUGCAAUGGGAAUGUGUAUGAUAAGACUUAAGAGUGGCCCAUUUGCACUAAGUUUGGCUUAUGCUGUUGAAGCAUUACAAAAUGUGACACUAAAUCAAGGUUAUGAUUACUUCAUAACAUCUCCUUAUCCUAAUGAUGCUUUAGCUUAUGGCCAUGCUACUUAGCUUGCAACUCCAUUAUUGAAUUUUCAGAUUGUGGCCUUUGUCUAAGUAGUGCAAAAUCAUUCUUGUUGAGUAAUUGUGAUGGUAGCAUUGGAGGUCAAGUUGAAUUUGUUGAUUGCUCAAUGAGGUACGAACAAUACUCGUUCAGCUAAUAAACUAGAGCCUAAUCUUUUUGCCAUGAUCCACGAAGAUUCAGUCAUUUGUCACUCUGAUUGUCUUAUGAAGAGAUUCCUCAUUGAUUUUUGAUGUAUCCCUGAUUCCUAUCUCGUUUCGUUCAUCUUCGUUUCUUCCUUUUUCCGUUGUUUUGUUUAUUAGGAAAGGCAAGCACAAAAUAAAUGUGCACGACAGGGCAAUAGCGGAAGAAAAUCCAAGUAAAAAAUUUCCCUUCUAUUUGAACCAAGAGAAGACAAAAUAAUGCAAGAAAAACACUGUUUGGGGUCGCAAACAAAUCAAUCAAGCAAAUAAAAUAAAUACAAACACGAGACACCAUAUUUAACAUGGAAAACCUCUUCGGUGUGAAGAGUAAAAACCACAAGGCCAAAGCUCCACUAAAAUCAACAAGAGUUACAAAAGUGUUCUCCAAAAUGGUCACCAACAAAGUGUCAAACAAUGAGCAACACAACUACAAGAUAGCACCAAACACUAGAGAAAUAAAAGGAGCAAAAACACCAAAUAUGCAGCUACUGUUCACGAGCAAAAAUCUGGAGUUACAGGACUCCAAAACACCCUCUUUCAGUUCUCAAUCAAAGAUUAAGUUGGAAGGAACAAGCUGUACAAAAAGCAGCUCAAUCGGAUAAGAAACGAAGUUGGAAUCGCGAUUUGAAAUUGGCUGCAAGGGCUUGUGCGAAAAUCUGCACUCUCUCACUGUUGUCUCUAUAUGUCUACUCUCAAUCUCAUGUAAUUCUUCAAAAUAAGACCUAAAAAGAAAGUCUUACAUAUGCACCAUAAUAUUGGGCUUAUAGACAAAAGUGGGCUAAUCAAAUUUGAGCUAAAUUUAUCCACAUAGGAAGGGAAAAAGGCCCAAAACCCAACAUUGUUGUUGACUUGUUGUAUCUAUAUGUACUAGAUGGUGGGUGCCCGGGCGCGCACGGACCCAAUAUUUAUACAUCUCUGUGUGUAAAAAUUAUCUUGGAACGCAAAACAGAUGAGAUAGCAGCACCAAAACAAAUGGAUCUAAAUCAAUGAGCAUCAAAAGAACACCAGAGAACGGUAACAAAAAAAUUUAUGCUUUAUUUAGUAGUUAACAUGAACUACAUGCAGUAGGAUGAUAAACAUAGCAAAUAAAGAGGUCUAAAAUAUAUUGAAUAAAUUAAGAAUUUAAAAUGCAAUUAUAACAGUGCAACGAUGUUUGUUGAACAACAAACAUAGAAUCAAAGUUAGGAAACCUCUCAUUUUGAGAAAUUUAUAGAAUCUUUCUUAAAGUUCAGUUUUAAUAACAAAAUGGUUUAUCAAAAUUUUAUUGAUCAAGAUAUCAAAUCUCACCAUAGGAGCUAGGUCAUUCUCAUGUGAUAUUAUAAGAUUUUCAAUAGCUACAUAUUAAUUUAUCAGAAGCUCAACUAUCCAAAUGAAUUUUAAAAGAUGCAUUUCAUUUUUUACCGUUAAUUCUAUACUACCUUAAAAGCAUUAACUCCAAACUUGAAUGUUGAAUUACAAUAAUACCCCCAAUUAAAAAUACUCAAUUUAUUUAUUUAUUAAUUUAAAUAAGUUUAUUAUAUUGAAAGUAGAUACCUUUUCAAAUUAAAGGAUUGCGACUUUUUCAAUGAGUUGUGACUUUUUUUUUACGGGUUCUGACUUUUUCAAUGAGUUGUCACUUUUCCAAAGGGUUGUGAUUUUUUCGAAGGGCUGUGACUUUUCUAAAGGGUUGUGCCUUUUCUGAUGAGUUGUGCCUUUUUCAAAGGGUUGUGGCUUUGCUGAUAUGCAGUGACUUUUUUGAAAGGUUGUGACUUUUCGGAUAAGGCACAAUUAANNNNNNNNNNNNNNNNNNNNNNNNNNNNNNNNNNNNNNNNNNNNNNNNNNNNNNNNNNNNNNNNNNNNNNNNNNNNNNNNNNNNNNNNNNNNNNNNNNNNNNNNNNNNNNNNNNNNNNNNNNNNNNNNNNNNNNNNNNNNNNNNNNNNNNNNNNNNNNNNNNNNNNNNNNNNNNNNNNNNNNNNNNNNNNNNNNNNNNNNNNNNNNNNNNNNNNNNNNNNNNNNNNNNNNNNNNNNNNNNNNNNNNNNNNNNNNNNNNNNNNNNNNNNNNNNNNNNNNNNNNNNNNNNNNNNNNNNNNNNNNNNNNNNNNNNNNNNNNNNNNNNNNNNNNNNNNNNNNNNNNNNNNNNNNNNNNNNNNNNNNNNNNNNNNNNNNNNNNNNNNNNNNNNNNNNNNNNNNNNNNNNNNNNNNNNNNNNNNNNNNNNNNNNNNNNNNNNNNNNNNNNNNNNNNNNNNNNNNNNNNNNNNNNNNNNNNNNNNNNNNNNNNNNNNNNNNNNNNNNNNNNNNNNNNNNNNAAAAAAAAUAAUUAUUUUUUGAAAUAGCUAUAUGUGCCGUCCCGUUUAUCCCAUCCCGUUCCGUUCCGGUCCAUUCCGGUCCGUCCCGGUUCUAUCCCGGUAUAUAGUGGGACGGGACGGAACCGAGCCUCCAUCCCGGUAGUUCCGGUCCGGUUCAUCCCGGUACCGGUCAACAACCCGGUCAAACCGUCCCGUUCCGGUCCGGUUCCGGUUCGUUCCGGUCCGGUGGUCCCAUUCCGGUCCGGUGCCCAGCCUUAGGCACAAUUAACACCUAUUCAUACUACUAUUUGACAGUUAUAAAAAGAGGGGUUUCCUCGCACUUUUAAACUACAUUUUCUUUAAGUUCUCUACUCUUCUUUUUCUUAAAAAAUCUCAAGUGUUAUUUGCAAAAAUUGAUUAAGUUCAAAAUUCGAGGUACCUCAUAAGAAAAAGUUGGUGAAAAAAUUGUAGGAAUCAUUCAUCAAUUCACACUCGUAUUUUUUUCUUACCAUUUUCAUGAGUUCAGUGACGAAAAGUUGUGGGAGAGACAAAAUAUUAAACAGAUAUGAAAAAAGGCAUAUGAUUUGGGUAAGAUAUUUCUUCUUUGUUUUUUAUUUUCUAUUCUUUUCCCUCAAACGAAGGAGUUUCUUCCUAAUUUUUCUAAAACAAUGGGUAUCAACGUAGUCCAUUGAAUUAUUAGUUUUGAUAUUAAAUUCAUUAUUCAAAAAUAGAUUUUCACUUUUACUUAUAAUAUGAUAACAUAGUCAUGAUAAUAAUUAUUUUUAAUAGAUAUGUAUGUAAAAAUGAAAGGAGAAAGUAAAGUGUUGGUGGCAAGAGAUUUAAAUCAAAUGGAACACUAGAGUGAAUAUAGCAUGAACAUAUAUUUUUGUCUUCCUUCUUCAUUGACUAUGUAUUGUUCCAUAUAAUUUUUCUUUAUGUCACAAGAUGCACACUCCUUACUAGCUAUAUAAAAAUAGAUAAGAAAAUUGUGAUUGAUCAUUAAAUGAUCUUAUAUCAUAUUAAUGAUUCUAUAAAUAAUACUUUACAUUUUAUUCAUCUAUUGUUUUUUAUUAUUGAAAAUAUUAAAUAUUUAAUAUCAUGAUACAACUUCUAUAAGAUACUAAUACUUUCAUUAGACAACAACUAUAUGAUAUGUAUGCGGCAAAAAAAAGGAGAAGACUACAACUCCACAAAGAUAAGGUAGAAACUUAACGAAAUGAAAUAUUUUUCAUCAUAGGUGAUGUUAUUCAUGUAUUAAAAUUAAAUUAUUCUACUGAAGUAUAUAUAAUCAUCAUUCAUUAUAACAACCAAGUACACCUUUUUUGUAAAAUCACCUCUCUAUGAUAGUCUUACUCAAAUAUUAAUAGAGUAAUAAUAUUUUGUAAAAGAUAUGUUACAUAUAAAGAUAAAAUAUUGAAAUACUUAUGGUAAUCCUUAUUAGUGUCAUGCGCAUACUAAAGUACAAGUAUGAAUAUUUAAGACAAAAUCUGUACUUAAAUGGUGUACAUCAUUUAUGUUUAUAACCUCAAGAGGAAAGGGUAUUGGUGACAUUUUUUUAAUGAAUAUUUUUUUUCUAUUUUGUUGGUUAGAUUUGUUUACAAAAUUGAGUGAAGUAAUAAAUAAUAUUAUUAAAGAAAUGUCACUUUCUCCCAUAUUUAAACUUUGAAUGUAUUUUGAAAUGUUUUAAUGAUAACUAUAAACACAAAUGUUGAUACCCUAUUCUCACUCACUCUUCUACUAUGGUAGAAAUAGAAUGUAUAUAUUUUUUUUACUUUUGUGUUGCAAAUAAUUGAGUUUAGUUCUUUAAUGUCCUUUUGUUUAAAUAGUUGAAUUAUGAGCAAUUUUCUCUUUGGUUUUAUCUUUUUUCUCGUUGACUUAUGUGCGAUUUGCUCACUAUUUCUUUUUCCAAAAAUCUCUCCAUACUAAGCGAGUUUGAAAGUUUUUUUUUUUUUGUUAUUUUCGUUGUACACUGAGCGAGUUCUCAACUUCUUUUAUUAUAUGCCCUCAUAGUAACCCCGUCAUUAAUUGAAGUAGGAUAAACAUUUUCUAAUGAAGAAAAAUCAUUAUUAGGAAAAGAACGUGCUUUAAAAAAAAAAGAAGAGAGAAAUAAUAAACUUAAUUGGAAAAAAGACAGUUUUGACUUAUUAAGUAACAAUAACAACAUUUAUAGAUCAAACUAUUGAAGACAAUGAUAUUUUUGGAUCAAACUAUCCACUAAGAAUAUUUUUAUUCAUUUUACAUGAUUUAAGAAUAUUAUAAACCCUUUUUCCGUUAAUUAAAUCAUCACAAAAUCCAAAAAAAAAAAAAAAAAGUUGUUUUCCAACACAUGUUUCCACACACUAAGAAAAGCCAAAAACAGAAAGAAAUUAAACAUUGAAAAACGAAAACAUAAGAAAAAACAGCAACCUUGAUUGAUGGUUGGAGAAGGCAAGUUGAUGAAGUAAGAGCUUCUUCUCUGUUGAUUUAACACAAAUAUUAUUUAUUUAUAUUUAUAUAAAAGAGGAACAAAAAAAUACUACUAAAUUGUGGACAAGAGAGUAUUUUUAAUAUCAUUUUUUUAACAUAUAAAUAAAGCAUCGUCUUAAAUGUGGAUAAGCAAGAGAACAUACAGUAGACCAAUUAUGUUCAAACCAAUUACAAAGCUUAAAACAAUAAUAAAGAAAUGAAACACUAAAACCACUCAAUUAAUAACCAAUGUGCUUGGCAGAAAUGCCAUGCCCCCAUCAAUACCUCUACGAUUAUGAAGACAUCAUAUAUAUAUAUAUAUAUAUAUGCUUGAAAAGCUUCACCACAUAUAAUUCCUCUUCAACAGCUCCACGUCUUUCAUUCUCUCUGGAAUCUCCUUUAAAUUUGGACAGUCAUGGAUACCAAGACCUUUAAUCAGAGGCAUUGCACUUGUGCCUAAAUCCCAUCUUUCUAGCUUUGAAAGAUCAUAAAGAUGAAGGAACUCUAGUUGACUGAAGCUGUUAUCACUGCACAUUAUUUCUUUUCCUUCAUAAGCUCCAACCAAAUGGAGAUUCCUUAGGUUUGGCAACAUUCCCAAAAUAGGCAUCGGAUCUUCCGUCAGUUUUGAGUUCUCAAGAAGCAUCAUUGUGAUGGAAUUUGGAAACAGAGGCAGUUUCCCUAUUCUCCCUUCUAACCUCAAUUUCUGGAGCUUUUCACAACAAUUAACAAAUUCAAGAGAUGGGAAUGAUUCAGUUUCUCCACAAAUCAAUUUGAGAGUGCUAAGGUUUUUCAAGCUGCUAAUGUUGUUUAGGGAGUAAGUUUUGCUAGUAUGAAACAUGCUUAAUUCUCGAAGAUUGACUAAAUCAACAGGAUCAACAUCUUUCCAUUGAUCACAACAAACUCUUUCAAGAACUUGAAGACUAGUGAGUUUGCUUAUAUGUGCCAGAGGUUUUGAAUACCAAACAACUAAAUGUCUUAGAUUUAUCAGGUUAGCUGUCUCGCGGGGUAGUUUGCAGGAGUAGUAUCCCCCCUCAUUGACAACAAGUGUCUGUAGAUUCUUGAGGUUGCCAAUGGAAGAUGGAAGAUCACGGUUAGCUCUCAAGCUUAAGAACUUAAGGUGGUACAAACUUCCUAUGGCAUCAGGUAUAGCACCACAGCCUUUAAUAUGCAAGUACAACACAUAUAUAUGUCGAAACACAUCUAUAUGUUGGAACACAUUACGAAAAUCCUGAUUGAAGAACAUAAUUGACCUCAACUUCAAAUUAGAAAGAUCAAGUAAGUGAUACAUUUCUCCUUGACCAUGAAAGGCAAGUCUGAUACAUGAAGAGGAUUUGGAGUGCUUUCUUGGAUGAUAAAUGUCAAAGAGGUUUGUGUCGGAUGCCUUUUGUAUGGCAAGAUCACGGAGUAAAUCAUGAACCCUACAUUCAGUAACUUUUUCCCAAAACGUAUUAGCCACUUGAACCAAGCUUCGUCUUAUCAGCUCAUUCAAGAAGCCUUCAGCCACAUCCUCCAUUCUUUCUUCUCCAUUUGGUAUGAAACCCUCGGCCAUCCACAACAGUAUUAUCUUUUCAGCAUCGACCUCUUGAUCUUCUGGAAAAAUACCAAAGUACAGAAAACACUGCUUGAGCACAGUUGACAAAAUCAUUGUAGCUUAAGGAUAGAAUGCAGGAGAUUUCAAUAAAUUUAUCUUCAAUAAUGUUCUUCCAAAGUUGAUCUUUCACUUCUUGCCAUUUGUCCACCCCCCCUCUAUGCGAAAGUAGUCCACUCAAUACAACAAUUGCAAGAGGUAAGCCUCUACACUUUUCCACCAUAUCCUUAGCUAGACUUUCCAUUGCUGGAACCAUUGCUCGAACAUCAAGUAGUUUCCUACAAAAGAGAUCCCAACUUUCUUCUUGGCUUAGGAAACGAAGUUCAUGGCCAAAACCUCUGUCGUCUGCUCUUUCAGCGACAUCCACUUUGCGCGUGGUAAUAAUAACUCUGCUGCCAUUCUUGCUAUCCGGGAAUGCUCUUUUCAAACUUUCCCAUGCUUCUCUCUGCCAUACAUCAUCAACCACCACAAGGUAUUUGUGUUCUUUCAAUAGAUCACGAAGGUGAACUUCUAGAUCUCCUUCUGUCAUAGUUUCUAACAAUCCUAGAGUUCCCUUGGUGCGACCUUGGAUGGAUUUUAUGAUAGUCUUAAGAAGAUCCAUUAUGUUGUACUCUUGAGAAACACAUAUCCAAGCGCGUGUAGGGAAGCUUGAGAUUAUAUUAGGACUGGUGUAGAGGUUUCUUGCAAGAGUGGUCUUGCCUAAUCCGCCCAUGCCAUAAAUGGAGAGGACGCUUCGACGAGGCUCUGCUUUGAGAAGUUGAGCUAGCAAUGUUUGUACAACAUCCUGAAGUCCAACAAAAAUGUAAUCCUGGUCAUCCACAUA